RNAcentral lists this transfer RNA (75 nucleotides) under Acidaminococcales bacterium. RNAcentral's name for it is "tRNA-Cys". It matches the Rfam family "tRNA". Rfam says of the family: Transfer RNA (tRNA) molecules are approximately 80 nucleotides in length. The record is from RNAcentral. Lineage: Bacteria; Bacillati; Bacillota; Negativicutes; Acidaminococcales.
GGCGGCGUAGCCAAAUGUUAAGGCAAAAGCCCGCAAGGCUUUGAGUCCCGCGUUCGAUUCCGGGCGCCGCCUCCA